AUCACUAUUGAGAGAAAAGAGGCAAAGUUGGGAGAUGAGAGAAAAUAGAAAGUAAGAAGAAGAAAGAAGAAUAUUCAAGAGAAAGAGAGAUGGAAAAGCUUAAGAGUGAGAUUAGAGUGAAGAUUUAAGUUGCUUUUGAAGGGUUAAGGUAAGAGGAAAGUUUAUAUUCACCGUUUAGAGAUUAUGAGUGAUAGAGUGUUUAUGAGUCAUGUUUGUUUAUAUGAUUCUCAUGAAUUUAGUGUUUUGUUAAGUUGAUUUUCAUGCUAUUUAAUUAUGCUAAUUAUGAGUAUGAUGAACUUUAUGAAAUUAUGUUAUUUAUAUGCUUAAACUUAUGCUUGAUGGUAUAAAAUAAGUUGUUCUUGAGAUUUCAGCUUAAAUGUGUGAAAAUCAAGAUGUUGUUGAUGAUUCUUUCUCAAAUUAUGUUCUAAUUGCUAGCUAUGUUGAUGGAAUGAUCAUGUUAAAUUUGAUGUUUGAAUUAAGUUGUGGUUUGUUGGUGAAUUUUGUGAGAAAUGAGUGACAAACCAUGAAAUGAUGUUUUGACGAAUUGAGUUUUGGGAUUAUGAGUUUUGGGUGUGGAAUUGAAUUUGGGGAAAAACGGGUUUUUAAGCUAAAAGUCAAUAUUUAGUGAUUCUAUGAAAUAAGCUAUUUUUGGGCUAAGUUAAUGGAAAUGUUUUGAUUAAGAAAUGAGGCUGAAUAGUAGGGGUUAAAUAGGCUAAGUGAUUGGGAUUGUUUCUGGUGCGAUCAGGAUCGAAAACAGUUUUGAAAACAGACUCUCGUGUGCAAAAACAUAAAAAUUCAAGAACCCUGUCUUGUCAAGGCAGCACGACCAUGCGGCCUAGGAGCACGUAUUGUGUGUAUUGUUCGCACUUGGUCAGUACAACCGUACGGCCAAUUUGCACGACCGUGCGCCCUGUACUAUGUCGGGAAACCUCAUUUUUUUUUUGUCGUUUUUAAAUUUUAAGCAUAUCAUUUGGUCCCAAACACCUAAUCUUAGUUAAUUGAUGUAUAAUUGAGUACUUAAACUUAAUUUAACUUGAUUUGGAUUGGAAUUGAAUUGUAUGGUGCAGACUUUUGAAAAUAGACGAACUUUGACAUUUUAAGAAAUAGAUAAACUUUGAAACUUAAUGAAUCACACUAAGAUAACUUGAGGAUGAUUAUGUGCUAUUGUUGUGAAGAUGAAUGGGGAUUGGUUUGAUUAUGAUAUGUAUUCUUGAAAUGUGGAUUAACUAGAAUGAAUUCUUAAUCGUCUUUAAAUGCCAAUUAUGCUAAAUGAAUGUUUGUUGUUUCUUGAGAUGAUAAAUGUUUGAUGACGAUUGCGGUGAAAUUAUUUAUUGAUGAUAAUUAACUCAUGAUGGUGUGAAUGUGUAUAUAUGUAUAAAUGAGGAUGAAUACAUGUAUAUAAAGUGGUGAAGUUAUGAUGGUGAUGUUUUGUAUGAACAUAUGUAUUUGGUGAGUUAUAUGUUCAUGCAUUCAUGGAUCUUGGAGUACGAUAUUUCAAUAUCCAAGUGGAGAUUAGGAUAAUUGUAUCCAAGUGGUGAUUUAGGAUAUUUCAAUAUCCAAGUGGAGAUAGGAUUAAUCGGUAAAAUAAUUCCGACAUCCAAAAACGGUACCGUAUGAAUAUAGAAUUGUGUCUAGAGCAUUGCAUGCAUAUGAAUCUAUGUGAAAUGAUUUAUACUUGUUGAAUCUAUGUGAAUUUUCUUCUACAUCAACAUGUAUAUUGUAUAGUUCAUUCCCAUCAAAGUAUUAUUUGUAGUUUUAUUAUUGUUUUGAUUUGGCUAUUAUGUUCAAUUUCUUUUUUCCCAGUCCAACGAAAUUACUUUGAUUUUGUCCUGAUGAAGAAUUAGAAUUAUGAAGAUGAACAAAAACACACCAACCAAGAAACGUGAAUUGAGAGAGAAGAUGACAGCAACAAAAACAAUUAAGGAAAAGAACCAGCGGGCCCCAAUAAGAAGCUGAGAAAGUAGAAAAUUUAAAAAUAAAAAUAAUCAUUUAAAGGUCAAUUACGUCAUUGUCCCUUACUAUUGUCUUUUCCAAAAAAUAAAAAAUAGGUUUUUUAGUCUAAAACAAAAGGUGCACCUACCUUGCUAAAAUAGACCUUCAUGAAAAUAAGUUGGUCUAUUGUAGCAAACCCCAUAUAUAUAUAGGAUUCCGACGAAGAUGAAGAAGUAGGUACAGAUAGGUGGCGAAUGGGUACAGAUGCUGGAAAAAUGAUGAACAGUCAAAACAACAGGUUGAUUCGAUGAUUCAUUCAUUCAAGAGUCAUGUUAAUUGUUGAUUCAAAGAAAGAAAGAAAAAAAGAAAAAAAAAGAGGCAUGUUAAUUGCUGGAUAUGCCAUGGCUGAUGAAUAUUAGGCGAGGAAGAAAGAGGAAGAAAGAUUUCAACGAAAUCAUAGAGUAGAGAGAGGCAUGUGUUGUUAAAUGAGGCUUUUUAAUCUCAGUCAAUUAAUUUUAAUCUAAAGGCUCACAAUCAUUCCUACCAUUCUCGUAUAUAAAUGUCAUUCUCAUGUGAUAUGCCCCCUAUAUAUAUAUAUAUAUAUAUAUAUAUAUAUAUAUAGAGAGAGAGAGAGAGAGAGAAUGAAUUUUUGAAUGAGUAUAGAAAUAUUUUGUGUCCAAAUAUAAUUGUUGGACAAAAGAAAAAUCAAUAUUUAGUCGAAAGUAGACGUUGGUCUGCCCUUAUCUCCCAUGAUAAUUAGUUGGGAAGCGAUUCCAUGUGGUGACUUUACCUCCUCUGAUGAUUUAAACCAUUAAAUGCAUUCUCUCCCUCUCAACAUUAAAUGCUUUUUUCUCUUUUAUCUUGAAGAUUUCACUAGAUCUCUCCAUUAUCCGAAGAGGAUAUGUUCCGUGAUUAACUACCUCUCCCGAUGCUUUUUCCUCUUUUAUUUUGAAGAUUUCACUAGAUCUCUCCAUUAUCCAAAGAGGAUAUGUUCUAUGAUUAACUGCCUCUCCCCAAAUUCUCAUUUGUGAAACCUUGUUAAUUGGUACUAGUAAGGUGUGGUGGGAUUACAUAAGAGAUCCUAGGCAUUGAUGGAAAUUGUUGGAAAAAUAUAUAGUGUGUGAGCUAAUGGUAGAGUAGUUAGAGACAUUGGACAAGAGGACACACAUUAGUAGUUACUACAUUGUAUGAGAAGAGAACAUGAUUUGGUGAAGCCUUUUUAAUAUUAUUGACAUUGCAUCUUAAACGUUUGAAUACAAUUGCACCCAUAUACCUAUACUUAUAGGUGCUUGAAGGUGUUUCUAGAACUAGAUUCUAGGCCUUUGUUUGCCAUUUCUACAUUAGAUUAUUAUAGAUGUUUCUAAGCUAUAACUUAAUUUAUACAUUAAUAAAAUAAUCUAGAAACAUGUAGCAACUUUGAGUUAUUCUAGUUUUCUCUAAUAGACGUCGUUAUAUUAACUAGAAAAUUCUAGAAAUAUGUAUCAAUUUCAACACUCCUCCUUGAUGCAUAUUUCAGAAACUCCAAAUGUAAUGCGUAGUUGCUCAAACAUAGAUUUGUGAUAUCAUCUUUUCCUACAUUGAUACUCUUCAUAGUUGAUUAAUUUGACAAGUCUUACCUCCACCAUGAUAGUACAUUUGUGUUACCUCUUGCUAUAAAUAGGUUUGUGACAUCAAUUGGACUUGAACUUAAUAGGAUCGAGCUGUUAGGCUACCUGAACUCUUCUAUUUCCUUCUUAGUUUUGGGUUUGAACUCAAAUAGAGUAUGGCCUAGUGGCUACCUAUACUCCUUUUGUUUUUGAGUCAUAGACUCGGAUUUUCUAGUUUAGUAGGAUAUCAUUCACAUUGUAGAAUAUAUAUAUAUAUAUAUAUAUAUAUAUAUAUAUAUAUAGUUGGUGACACGAGAUCAUAUUUUGUUUGACAAAAAAUUAUAUUUAAUUUUCCAAAUAAGAGAAAAUAAUUCAAUAAAAGUCACACAAGAUAAAGAAAAUGAUCAAAUUGAUCUUCUUUAUUUUAAGCAAGAGCAUUACAUGGGAUACAAAAUGCAGUUGAAUCCUUUAUUCUAGUACAAAAUCACAUGCACCCACACAACUAACAAGCUAGACUCUCAAUACCUUUGACAGGAAAACAAACAAACAAGAAACACUUAAUUUUGCAGCAAUAUUCACUUGAAAAUUAUUCCAUAGCAACCAUACGGGAAGGGGGUGGAGUAGAAGCAGUAAAUGGCUGUCCCCUUUUUUCCAUCGAUUUCAUUUUCAAACGCAGCUCCUUCUCCUUGUAUAGAAUAUCAGCCAACCUUCAUAUAUCAUAAUCAUAACGUAAUUAGCAUUUCAUAUUUACUUAGGAGAUGGCCAACCCUAGAAUAAUUCUAUGUUAAACAUGAACUAGAUUUUUGACCCGUGUUCCGCUCGGGUUUAUCGUAAAGGGUAUUCUGUUUGUAAACGUAUUAAAUAAGUGUAGAAUAUAUUGUCAAAAAAAAAAAAAACAGUAACAGGAUAGGAAUGAAAUAAAGGCAAGAGGAUAGGAAUGAAAUUGGUGCAAUGAAUUAUUUUAGAUACAAUUUGUUAGGUUAAAUAAUUGCAAACCUAAUAAAGCAAAAAUUAAUAAAUAAAGAUAACUAUAUCAUAAAAAUGUUAAAAAAUGAACAAACCUUGUAAGAGCCUCAUCGUUUGUACCCUCACUUGGUUUUACAUAUGGGACAAACGAAGUAACAUUUUGUAUCUUAACAGGUUGUUUCAACAAGUCUUCUCCUGCCUUUACAAGUUUUUGCAUGCCUUCUUCGGUAACAUUGACAAUAGAUGGAUUCAAGUUAUACUCCUGCACAGCACAUAUACCCGGACGUUACAUGUUUCAUUCAAUGAAAAAUUAAAAAAUUACAAUACUAAUCUUUUUUUUAAAGUAAAUUUUUUUAAAUAAAUAAAAACCCUAUAUGCAACCAUUUAUUAUGUACCUCAACUCGAAGGUAGUAAUUUUCCGAAGAAGGUGAGUCUGGGAAGACUGAUGCAAGGUGAUAUUCAUGUAUGUCUGCAGCAGCACUAGCAUAACCCAAAGCAAGAAUGGACGUCCAAUUAUUAUACGAGAAGGUUUUUGCAAGUAAAGAACCAGGCCCUAGAAUCGUGUUUCUUCCACAUCCUAAUGACAACAACACGAUUUUGGUAGGUUCGUUUGGAUUCACAGGAAUGAAAUUAGGAUUCUUCUCAUUCAAUUGUUGCAUCACUUCACUUACUGCAACCAAUGCCUGAAUUACAUGCAUACAAUUUUUAUAGAACAUUAAUGUGCAACCAUAUCAUAUGUAACAUAUGACUAAUGAUAUAUAUAUUAAAUACACUUACCGGGCUGCCUGCAGCUAUACCUCCAUCAACUAAAUUGAAUGGCCUUCUACGAUUCCAAAAGAAAUAGGGUGGUAGAAGAGUUGGUGCAGCUGAAGUCCCAAUGGCUAUAUCCGACAAUUUUGCAUCUAGGCUAGGAAUUUCCUCCAACUGCAUGAGCAACGAACGUUUCACAAACUAAGGUAAAUAAAUUACAAGCUUUCCCUCAUGUUUAUGCAAAUAUAUAUGCUGACCUUAAAGCUUGAGAAAAUGACCGGGUGAAGUAGAAGGAUGUCGAAGGUUGGGAUUACAACAUUGGUCAAUGUAUCAUGCAAACGUGUUUCUUGCAAUAUCUCACGUGUUUUAGCACGUAAGAACUCGCCAUCAAACUUCGGACCCGGGGUGGUAUGAGUCCAAUUCCUGCAAAAAAAAAUUAUAUAGCAAGAGAGAAUAUGUUAAAAAGAGUAUAAAGGGAACUUAAACAAGCUAAUUAAAUACAACAUCAGAACCAAGAUUGUGUUUGCGAGUUGGAUUUUAGAGGGUUUUGUGACGGAAGACUUUUUAAGGCAAACUCUAUAUUUUAAUACAUAUUUGAUAUUUUUUUUUAUAUAAAAAAAAUGAAAGGACAACAUGAUACAUCAGUAUAUAUUAUCAUGCUAUUCAUUUAAUUUUUUUUUAGAGUAUCAAAUAUAUAUCAAAAUAUAAACUUGACUCUCUAAAACUCUCCCCUCCAAAAACCAACUUCCAAACAUACUCUUAGAGAACAUAACAUUAUUUGUGCAUACAAAUUGAGUUUUAUUAUGUCAAAGAAUUUAGGCAUAUUGAGAAUUUUUCAUUUAGAAAGUAAUAUAAAGUUUUUUUUUUUUUUUUUUUGUAGUAAUAGUCUAAACCCAAUUCAAUUAGAAUAUCAAAUAAAACUUAAUCCGGCCAGUUUAGCUUAGGACCAGUCUACUAUUAACAUUUUCAUGUGAUUUAUUGAAAAUUAGUAUUAGUAAAAACUUUGAAAUUAUAAUUAAUUUUAAGGUUAUUAAUAAAACAUAUAUAUAUAUUAUUCAAACUUAAUAAAAAGAUAUACAUAAAUAGAUAAAAAACUUUAAAGUUUAAAAAUUAUAAUUUGGUUCAUCUAAAUGAAUAAAACUUGAAUUUAAUUGAUAUUUAAUAUUAAUGUAAUAAUAAAAAGUAUGCUUGCAUCCAAUCAUAUCUCACCAAUUAGAUAUUUUUGAAAACUAAUCUACGAAAAUGUAAUCAAAAAAAUAAAAUGAGUGAAUAAACAAAAAAAAAAAAAAAGGGUUAGACUCUUCCAUCAACCCACAUAUAGCCCAUAAUGGAUGAAUCUGGCUUAAUAAUGUACAGCUUAAUAACAAGCAAGACAAUCUAAUCCGACCUAUUUAUGUAGUUAGGCUCGUCGAGCCAAAGUUGGUUGGACCGAGAUAGCCCAUUUAAUUGCUUUAACGAUGAUAUAAUAUAAGAGGAGUGCUAUCCAUCACAAGCAAUUGUCUCACGAUUGUAUAGCGAAAAGUGUUUAACCAAUUAAAUUUUUUUCUGGCCGGAAUUCACGCUGGGUGGGGGAAAUGGUUGACCAAUUAAAACACUAGAAAGCCGGAAUGAACGGGCUCGGGAUGAUUUCGCAUGAAAUUUUUCGCUGAAUAUAUCAUUUUCCAUAAUAUAAAUAGAAUGAUAUUGUUUCUAUGAAAUACCUAGCAGCAGUUUGGUUGAAUAUAGAUUGACCAUAAUCCAAGUAGAAUUGUAAGAUUUCUUUAGCAGUAAAUGCAGGACGAGAAGUAUCAUUCAAGUUAGGAGCAGCAAGCAUAGCAGCAAUGAGUCCUCCAGUACUUGUCCCUGCUAUCACAUCAAAAUAAUCUGCCAGUGCUGC
RNAcentral lists this long non-coding RNA (7110 nucleotides) under Medicago truncatula (barrel medic). Its description in RNAcentral is "long non-coding RNA (MTRU_LNC005809)". Lineage: Eukaryota; Viridiplantae; Streptophyta; Magnoliopsida; Fabales; Fabaceae. The record is from RNAcentral.